CCUACGGGGUGCUGCAGUGGGGAAUAUUGGACAAUGGGCGAAAGCCUGAUCCAGCCAUGCCGCGUGUGUGAAGAAGGCCUUCGGGUUGUAAAGCACUUUCAGUGGGGAAGAAAGCCUUGGGGCUAAUACCCUCGAGGAAGGACAUCACCCACAGAAGAAGCACCGGCUAACUCCGUGCCAGCAGCCGCGGUAAUACGGAGGGUGCGAGCGUUAAUCGGAAUUACUGGGCGUAAAGCGCGCGUAGGCGGUCUGAUAAGCCGGUUGUGAAAGCCCCGGGCUCAACCUGGGAACGGCAUCCGGAACUGUCAGGCUAGAGUGCAGGAGAGGAAGGUAGAAUUCCCGGUGUAGCGGUGAAAUGCGUAGAGAUCGGGAGGAAUACCAGUGGCGAAGGCGGCCUUCUGGACUGACACUGACGCUGAGGUGCGAAAGCGUGGGUAGCAAACAGGAUUAGAUACCCUUGUAGC
RNAcentral lists this ribosomal RNA (464 nucleotides) under Vreelandella stevensii. RNAcentral's name for it is "partial 16S ribosomal RNA". It matches the Rfam family "Bacterial small subunit ribosomal RNA", at positions 338 to 794 of the family's 1533-position model. The record is from RNAcentral. Lineage: Bacteria; Pseudomonadati; Pseudomonadota; Gammaproteobacteria; Oceanospirillales; Halomonadaceae.